RNAcentral lists this ribosomal RNA (1306 nucleotides) under Staphylococcus aureus. RNAcentral describes it as "partial 23S ribosomal RNA". It matches the Rfam family "Bacterial large subunit ribosomal RNA", at positions 1 to 1307 of the family's 2925-position model. Lineage: Bacteria; Bacillati; Bacillota; Bacilli; Caryophanales; Staphylococcaceae. The record is from RNAcentral.
AGAUUAAGUUAUUAAGGGCGCACGGUGGAUGCCUUGGCACUAGAAGCCGAUGAAGGACGUUACUAACGACGAUAUGCUUUGGGGAGCUGUAAGUAAGCUUUGAUCCAGAGAUUUCCGAAUGGGGAAACCCAGCAUGAGUUAUGUCAUGUUAUCGAUAUGUGAAUACAUAGCAUAUCAGAAGGCACACCCGGAGAACUGAAACAUCUUAGUACCCGGAGGAAGAGAAAGAAAAUUCGAUUCCCUUAGUAGCGGCGAGCGAAACGGGAAGAGCCCAAACCAAAAAGCUUGCUUGUUGGGGUUGUAGGACACUCUAUACGGAGUUACAAAGGACGACAUUAGACGAAUCAUCUGGAAAGAUGAAUCAAAGAAGGUAAUAAUCCUGUAGUCGAAAAUGUUGUCUCUCUUGAGUGGAUCCUGAGUACGACGGAGCACGUGAAAUUCCGUCGGAAUCUGGGAGGACCAUCUCCUAAGGCUAAAUACUCUCUAGUGACCGAUAGUGAACCAGUACCGUGAGGGAAAGGUGAAAAGCACCCCGGAAGGGGAGUGAAAUAGAACCUGAAACCGUGUGCUUACAAGUAGUCAGAGCCCGUUAAUGGGUGAUGGCGUGCCUUUUGUAGAAUGAACCGGCGAGUUACGAUUUGAUGCAAGGUUAAGCAGUAAAUGUGGAGCCGUAGCGAAAGCGAGUCUGAAUAGGGCGUUUAGUAUUUGGUCGUAGACCCGAAACCAGGUGAUCUACCCUUGGUCAGGUUGAAGUUCAGGUAACACUGAAUGGAGGACCGAACCGACUUACGUUGAAAAGUGAGCGGAUGAACUGAGGGUAGCGGAGAAAUUCCAAUCGAACCUGGAGAUAGCUGGUUCUCUCCGAAAUAGCUUUAGGGCUAGCCUCAAGUGAUGAUUAUUGGAGGUAGAGCACUGUUUGGACGAGGGGCCCCUCUCGGGUUACCGAAUUCAGACAAACUCCGAAUGCCAAUUAAUUUAACUUGGGAGUCAGAACAUGGGUGAUAAGGUCCGUGUUCGAAAGGGAAACAGCCCAGACCACCAGCUAAGGUCCCAAAAUAUAUGUUAAGUGGAAAAGGAUGUGGCGUUGCCCAGACAACUAGGAUGUUGGCUUAGAAGCAGCCAUCAUUUAAAGAGUGCGUAAUAGCUCACUAGUCGAGUGACACUGCGCCGAAAAUGUACCGGGGCUAAACAUAUUACCGAAGCUGUGGAUUGUCCUUUGGACAAUGGUAGGAGAGCGUUCUAAGGGCGUUGAAGCAUGAUCGUAAGGACAUGUGGAGCGCUUAGAAGUGAGAAUGCCGGUGUGAGU